Molecule: ribosomal RNA, 253 nt
Filed under: uncultured bacterium
Lineage: Bacteria
Description: partial 16S ribosomal RNA
Rfam family: Bacterial small subunit ribosomal RNA
Source: RNAcentral
GACAGAGGGUGCAAACGUUGCUCGGAAUUACUGGGCGUAAAGAGCGUGUAGGCGGCCAAACAGGUCCGUUGUGAAAACUGGAGGCUCAACCUCCAGACGUCGACGGAAACCGUGUGGCUAGAGUCCGGAAGAGGAGAGUGGAAUUCCUGGUGUAGCGGUGAAAUGCGCAGAUAUCAGGAAGAACACCAAUGGCGAAGGCAGCUCUCUGGGACGGUACUGACGCUGAGACGCGAAAGCGUGGGGAGCGAACAGG